GCCGCCCGGCGCCCUGGACGCCUGGGCCGAGCCGCACCUGGAGCGCCUGCUGCGGGAGAAGUUGGACGGACUAGUGAAGCUCCGGACUGCUCGGGAAGCCCCAUCCGAAUGUGUCUGCCCCCCAGAAAACUAUAGGAACAGAGAAACACGAUCCUUCUACAGAGGACCAAGGAGUUUUGG
RNAcentral lists this long non-coding RNA (180 nucleotides) under Cercocebus atys (sooty mangabey). RNAcentral's name for it is "lncRNA (ENSCATG00000045500.1)". Lineage: Eukaryota; Metazoa; Chordata; Mammalia; Primates; Cercopithecidae. The record is from RNAcentral.